This 72-nucleotide transfer RNA is filed under the name Melanotaenia nigrans (blackbanded rainbowfish). RNAcentral describes it as "tRNA-Gln". It matches the Rfam family "tRNA". Rfam says of the family: Transfer RNA (tRNA) molecules are approximately 80 nucleotides in length. Lineage: Eukaryota; Metazoa; Chordata; Actinopteri; Atheriniformes; Melanotaeniidae. RNAcentral also lists the same sequence under 2 other names. The record is from RNAcentral.
UAGAUAGUGGUGUAGGUGGAAGCACGAAGAGUUUUGAUCUCUUAAGGUAGGGUUCAAAUCCCUUCUUUCUAA